RNAcentral lists this ribosomal RNA (253 nucleotides) under uncultured bacterium. RNAcentral describes it as "partial 16S ribosomal RNA". It matches the Rfam family "Bacterial small subunit ribosomal RNA", at positions 524 to 776 of the family's 1533-position model. The record is from RNAcentral.
UACGUAGGGUGCAAGCGUUAAUCGGAAUUACUGGGCGUAAAGCGUGCGCAGGCGGUGAUGUAAGACAGAUGUGAAAUCCCCGGGCUCAACCUGGGAACUGCAUUUGUGACUGCAUCGCUGGAGUGCGGCAGAGGGGGAUGGAAUUCCGCGUGUAGCAGUGAAAUGCGUAGAUAUCAAGAGGAACACCAGUGGCGAAGGCGAGUCCCUGGACAACACCUGACACUGAGGCACGAAAGCUAGGGGAGCAAACAGG